AUUGAACGCUAGCGGGAUGCUUUACACAUGCAAGUCGAACGAGUGGCGGACGGGUGAGUAAUAUAUCGGAACGUGCCCAGUAGCGGGGGAUAACUACUCGAAAGAGUGGAUAAUACCGCAUACUCUUGGGGAGGCCGAUGUCGGAUUAGCUAGUUGGUGGGGUAAAGGCUCACCAAGGCAACGAUCCGGAGCUGGUUUGAGAGGACGACCAGCCACACUGGGACUGAGACACGGCCCAGACUCCUACGGGAGGCAGCAGUGGGGAAUUUUGGACAAUGGGGGAAACCCUGAUGCAGCCAUGCCGCGUGUAUGAGAAGGCCCUCGGGUUGUAAAGUACUUUUGGCAGAGAAGCGGUAUCGGCAGAAUAAGCACCGGCUAACUACGUGCCAGCCGCCGCGGUAAUUC
RNAcentral lists this ribosomal RNA (405 nucleotides) under uncultured bacterium. Its description in RNAcentral is "partial 16S ribosomal RNA". It matches the Rfam family "Bacterial small subunit ribosomal RNA", at positions 30 to 526 of the family's 1533-position model. The record is from RNAcentral.